Long non-coding RNA from Condylura cristata (star-nosed mole), 313 nucleotides. RefSeq lists it as uncharacterized. NCBI's taxonomy places the organism in Eukaryota, Metazoa, Chordata, Mammalia, Eulipotyphla, Talpidae. The transcript is spliced from 3 exons. The record is from RefSeq and is a predicted model, not a curated record.
GGAAGCGGGCGGAGUGGACCCUCCGGAUGUUAGAAGACCUGGGCAAAGAGCCGCCCUGCCACCCACCGCCCUGGACGAGGCUCCUCCAUGAUGGGCGUCAUGGCCCCUCAAGGGUUACAAGCAGAGCACGAGAUCACAGCUCCCAGAGCCUGCGCCCGUGGGUGCCAGCACCUUGUUUGUCAUCACCGCUGUUACUCUCCAGGGGCGAGCAUAUUCCUUCCUCACCAGGCCCAACAUUUGCUACAAGAGAGGACGCACCAAGUCCUUCUGGAGGCAGCAGGUGGCGUGGACUUCAGGGUGCAGCCCCGUGCCC